Canis lupus familiaris (dog) is the source of this 1983-nucleotide long non-coding RNA. RefSeq lists it as uncharacterized. The transcript is spliced from 9 exons. The record is from RefSeq and is a predicted model, not a curated record. Lineage: Eukaryota; Metazoa; Chordata; Mammalia; Carnivora; Canidae.
GAUCCAAAACUUCCAGGUUGGGAGAAAUCACAGAGGUCCUCAAAACCAACUUCAGAAGCUCAGAAAGUUCUACACAUUAAAUAAAAACAUCAACAAUAUGGUUUUAACAGUGUUCAUGGGGGAAGAAAAACACAAGAAAGAAAUAUACCUGUUUACUGAAAGCUGGGGCCACUGAUUUCUCCCAGUGAGCUUUUAACCCCAUUUCUUGUCUGACCCUAAACGACUUGUUCAGAAGGAUUUAAGAAGACCUAGCUCAGUAGUUCAGUAGGAGGUGAGGAUUUGAGCUGUGUGUAUGAGGAAACUGCCUCAGUUAGCCUGAGGCUAACAUGCCGAGGGUCAUCCAGCUGGUGAUAACAGGGCCAAGAGUCAAACCUAGAAGUCUGGCUCCUACGUGGAUUUUUGCUGGACUCCUUGUUGGACUUCUCAUUGGACUACCCCAAAACCAGAAGAGUCCUUUUGUGUAUCAUUGCAUCACCUAUACAUACACAAUGUGUGGCAUUUGUUGAAUAGAUGAAUGGAUUUGAUUAUCGCAAAAAUCACGUGGAGUGGGUACAGCCACAAUUAGCAUUCACGUCUCAAAACUGAGGAUAAUAAUACACUUAGGACAGAGAGAGGAGGAGAAACUGGUUUUAAGGUUUCAAGUUGGUUACUGAGUGGGUGAUGGGGGCUUCUCUAUCACCCUAGGAGAUUUGGACUGUAUCCUAUAAGCUGUGUGGAACUAUUGAAGUAUUUGAAGUAGGAGAGAUAUGAUAAGGCAUUUUGUUGGAGGAAGGAGCGCUGGACUAUCCUGGCAGCUUGAGGUGGAUAGAUUUUGUGGUGCACUGGCAGCAAAAAGCCAAUUUAAAGACUUCCAAUAGUCCAGGUUAACUAUAUGCAGGAUGGUCCUCUUUUGUGCUGCUGGGCAGGGGCAGCAAACCGCAGCUCCCAGUCAGCCAUGGGAUCAUAAGGCAGCUGAAUCUCAAAGAUGGACUGCACUACUACAGGAAUUUGUUUUCAUCCUUCAAGAUUAACCUGAUGUCACUUCUAUGAAGCUUUCCAAAUCCCCCUGGCCUAUUUAGUUGCACUCUACGGUGUUUGCAUACUUGUCUGUGCAAAUAUCUUUCACGAUUGUCUAUUUUCCUCGAUCACUGUGAUGACCAAUCCCAUCUAAGCUAGCAUCAUUUCUCUGUAAACCUGGUGAAAGAGCUGUUUAACUUGUCUCUGGCAUCUACCCUUACUCCUGUUCAUUCUCCCAAAGUGGCAAGAGGGAUUUCUGAAAUGUGAAAAUGAUCAGGUCCUACCCUGCUUGAGAGCUGUCAGUCAAGUCCCAUUCUCUGAGGGUCUUUAUCCCCACAGAAAGAACAGUCUGGAAAGCGGCAUACAUGGUCCUUAAUCAUGUCCCGUGUGACCUGGCCUCUGCUGUUCUCACCAGUCCCAGCAGUGCCUCACGCCCUUGUCCUAUCUUCCAACCACACAGCCCUUACCUACCUGCACUUGGUCCCACCUGUAGCCACUGCACAUGUUCUCUUCCCCUCUCCACAGAUUCAAUCCUGCCUACCCUUUCAUAGUGUGAAUCCCAAGACAACCUCCCCAAAUCCACCCCCACAGUGCAAUCUAAGAGUAAAGAUGGGCUUCCUACGCAACAUGGCUCCAAAACAAACCUUCAUCCCUGCCAGCUUGCCAAACCUAAACUUCUUCUAUUCAGAAAUUCUGGAAUCUUCCCCACGUUCCAGGGCUCAACUCAAACGUCACCUUUACAAGAGAGUAUUCCCAGGACACUGUUCCUCCCUUUUCUGGAGCACGUCAUAGCGUUCUCUCGGUGAAACCUCAUUUUAGCACCUGUGCUUCUUUACUACAACGCUUACAACAACUGUAUUAAAAUCCGUCAUUACGCUAUCAUUUAUUUUGUGCCCUUUUCCCCAAACAGAGUGUAAGUAAUGCCCAUUAGGGAAGGGAAAGGGCCCUCAUUUGUGAAUCCGCACUCUCCAAACCAAGUACAAAGUA